AGCAGCCGGGGGCGCGUCUGUGGCCCCAGGCCCCGCAGGCCCCGCUCCCCGCACGGCCCCGCACUCACGCCACUCCAAACCCACCUGGUUGCUGUGCGCUGGCUGCUCCCUUUGACAAAACGCCGGUCCCUGACUGGCUGUGUCCUCACUGCCUUCACGGGUGACCCUGCCGAAGCCACGCUGUCUGCCCCUCCCAUCGGGCUGCUUUAUUCUGCACACAAGCCUCACCCCAAGCACCCCAUUUUACCCGCGCCCUGUCUGCCCCGCCAGGCCCCAGGCGGGCUGAGACGUUUGUCCCUUUUCCCUCUCUCACUGCUGUGUCCCCAGUGCCCAGGCCGUGGGUCGGCGCUUUCUUUGUAGGGCUUCGCGGGCUGGGUGAACUCGCAACGCAGGGUGAGAUUAAACACAGAUACUGAGCGAGGCCGAAGGGGGCUGGCGCCAUCGCCGGCUGGUCCCUGAGGCUGCAGGACCCGUAAAAAUGUCCACGGCCUUCCAGAAGACAGGUGGACCCCCCCGACCCACAGAGGGCGCUUAAGAAAACGAUCCCACAAACCGAGAGGAACCCACGUGGGAGCGAAGGCCUACACUGUGCCCCUCAGGACAGCAGGUGACAAGCAGCCACCCCGGAGAGUGAGGGGCUCAGUGACUCCGGUAGAAAACCUGCCUGGGAAAGGGACCUCGGCAGCCACCUCAGCACAGGGCGCACGUGAGUGAAGCUGCAGAUGGCAGCUCCCCGCAAAAGCCUGUCGGCUUGGGCCCCCUGUGUCACACAGUUUCCGGGUGGCCCUGGAGAAUGUGCUUACCAGGCCUUGUCCUUUCUCAUCUACCUGUGACCAGCCCACCUCCCCGUCUUUUCCCAAAUACACGCACACCUUGGAUGGCCUCCCUGUCUUUGAACUUCCAUGUUUAUGUGAAUUCCCCGUGUGCAAGUAUUAAAAUUCAGUUUUCUCCUGUUAA
This is a long non-coding RNA of Pteropus alecto (black flying fox), 957 nucleotides long. RefSeq lists it as uncharacterized. Lineage: Eukaryota; Metazoa; Chordata; Mammalia; Chiroptera; Pteropodidae. The record is from RefSeq and is a predicted model, not a curated record. The transcript has 2 exons.